AAACUAACUGUCAGUUCGAGGGGCAGCGGGGGUGCAUGCUUGCCUGCACCUGCCGGCGACCGGCGCACGGGUGCCCAUACAAAUGGAACCUGCCCGCCACAGGGGGAUAACCCGGGCCACUCCCGGCCUAAUACCCCAUGCCGCCCGGACCGGGCAUCCGGUCCGGGCGAAAGGAGGAAUCCGGUGGCGGCUGGGCAUGCGGCGCAUUAGCUUGACGGCGGGGUAACGGCCCACCGUGGCGACGAUGCGUAGGGGUUCUGAGAGGAAGGCCCCCCACACUGGAACUGAGACACGGUCCAGACUCCUACGGGAGGCAGCAGUGAGGAAUAUUGGUCAAUGGGCGGAAGCCUGAACCAGCCAAGUCGCGUGAGGGAAUAAGGCCCUACGGGUCGUAAACCUCUUUUGCCGGGGAGCAAGGGCCGGGACGCGUCCCGGCCCGGAGAGUACCCGGAGAAAAAGCAUCGGCUAACUCCGUGCCAGCAGCCGCGGUAAUACGGAGGAUGCGAGCGUUAUCCGGAUUUAUUGGGUUUAAAGGGUGCGUAGGCGGGCUUUUAAGUCAGCGGUAAAAAUUCGGGGCUCAACCCCGUCCGGCCGUUGAAACUGGGGGCCUUGAGUGGGCGAGAAGAAGGCGGAAUGCGUGGUGUAGCGGUGAAAUGCAUAGAUAUCACGCAGAACCCCGAUUGCGAAGGCAGCCUUCCGGCGCCCUACUGACGCUGAGGCACGAAAGUGCGGGGAUCGAACAGGAUUACA
RNAcentral lists this ribosomal RNA (750 nucleotides) under uncultured bacterium. RNAcentral describes it as "bacterial SSU rRNA". It matches the Rfam family "Bacterial small subunit ribosomal RNA", at positions 48 to 782 of the family's 1533-position model. The record is from RNAcentral.